Non-coding RNA from Nitrospirae bacterium 13_2_20CM_62_7, 73 nucleotides. NCBI's taxonomy places the organism in Bacteria, Pseudomonadati, Nitrospirota. The record is from Rfam.
GCCCACGUAGCUCAGUUGGCAGAGCACGUCCUUGGUAAGGACGAGGUCACGCGUUCAAUCCGCGUCGUGGGCU